UCAACUUCCAUUAUGUUAACGGAGCCAACAACAUCUGCACUUUCCUGGUUCAGUACACAAGUGAAGUACCCACCCUAGGACUCCAUAGUGCUACAAAAUGAAAAUACAUAAUAGCAUAUCAGUAUCGAAGCAUUCCAUCAACUUGAAGCAAAUUGCAAGUACUAUUCAAACAAGCACCCGUGAGAACUAUAGCAAGCAAUGCAGUGCCAAUAGAAACGGCUCAAUGCCACUAAUCAGACAUACAACUUAACAUUACCACAUAAUCAAUAGCAAUGAUUCUAUGUCGUCCAUAUGAAAUUUAGCAUAGACACAUCAUAACAUUUGGGUAAAAGAAGAGAUGUUUCAAUUACUGAUGGAGGUACAAGUGUACAACGCUACAUCACUAGCUAUAUAUUUCUAAUAACUCUGAAAAUCAAAAUAUUAAACUUUUAGAUAUUCGUCGGAUACCAUUAUAAGUUGUUUGAUUGCCUUCAACUGAGUCUCAUUUGGACAGAGAUCUCUGUGCACAGGCUGUAGGUUGUCCACCAACAAGACAUGACAUCAUUAGCGAUCCAAAGAAAACAAACCUGAAAUCAGACAUCCAGGAGGGAUCAUUGUUGCCAUAAGGUUGAUUUUGGUCGAGGUCGAAUAUGAGUUUGUGGGCGUGAAGCAGCUCCAACAGACAUUGAACCUCCACAAUCUUGGCGAAUCACAUCUAUAGUGACGUUUCAUGAAGUCUUACACCUCUUUACCUGUGCCUACAUCGAUCCAUCCCCAGGAAUGCCGCUGGAACAUAUGGCGCGCGGGUCAGGAUGCGGAGCGCGACAAGCCAUCGAUUAGGGAGUGCGAAAAGCCGUCGGGUCAAGACGUCGGUGGGUCGGGGAGAGGGAGGUGGUCGGGCUAGUGCUGGGUGGGUGCAGAGGGAGGUGUUUCGGCGAGAAGCUAUUUUUUACAGUCAAUCCUAUACCUAGAAAAAAACUGCGAGAGGCUUCGUCCAAAAAAAAACCUAUGAGGAGGCAGAUGCAAUGUUUCAGCGGCGCCGGCGCAUGGGGCGGAGGGUCUGUCUGAACGGCGACCGGUGUCCUCCUUCCUGUCCAGACGCGAAUCGGAUCAUGGCGCCCCCCUGCCAGUCUGCCACCUCAGGCACACUCAGCUGUCGGUGUGGUGGCAUGCCUCGGUAUGCUGACUUCGGCUCUUCUCAACCCUUCUGCCUCGAGGCCUGCAUCUCCUCGACUCGUCGCCGAUCUCCUGUGAUCCUGUCUCGACCUCGGCCCUCCACUGAAUAUUCAAGACAUGGAGGAUUACCC
This 1286-nucleotide long non-coding RNA is filed under the name Zea mays. RNAcentral describes it as "long non-coding RNA (ZMAY_LNC002002)". The record is from RNAcentral. Lineage: Eukaryota; Viridiplantae; Streptophyta; Magnoliopsida; Poales; Poaceae.